RNAcentral lists this ribosomal RNA (465 nucleotides) under uncultured Methylophilaceae bacterium. Its description in RNAcentral is "bacterial SSU rRNA". It matches the Rfam family "Bacterial small subunit ribosomal RNA", at positions 338 to 795 of the family's 1533-position model. The record is from RNAcentral. Lineage: Bacteria; Pseudomonadati; Pseudomonadota; Betaproteobacteria; Nitrosomonadales; Methylophilaceae.
CCUACGGGUGGCAGCAGUGGGGAAUUUUGGACAAUGGGGGCAACCCUGAUCCAGCCAUUCCGCGUGAGUGAAGAAGGCCUUCGGGUUGUAAAGCUCUUUCGCAAGGGAAGAAAACUUAUGAUCGAAUAAAUCAUGAGGUUGACGGUACCUUGAUAAGAAGCACCGGCUAACUACGUGCCAGCAGCCGCGGUAAUACGUAGGGUGCGAGCGUUAAUCGGAAUUACUGGGCGUAAAGCGUGCGCAGGCGGUUUUGUAAGUCGGAUGUGAAAUCCCCGGGCUCAACCUGGGAACUGCGUUCGAAACUGCAAGGCUAGAGUGUGUCAGAGGGGGGUAGAAUUCCACGUGUAGCAGUGAAAUGCGUAGAGAUGUGGAGGAAUACCAAUGGCGAAGGCAGCCCCCUGGGAUAACACUGACGCUCAUGCACGAAAGCGUGGGGAGCAAACAGGAUUAGAUACCCUUGUAGUC